GCCUAUAAAUUGUUGUUAUUAGAGUUGGGCCUAGGGCUUUUUCACAUCAUAAAAUUUCACAAUCUCUCUCUCUCUUCCGUUUUCUCUUCAAAAUUUUCCCCAAAUUAUCUUCUGUAAAACAACCCACUGCUCUUCCUCUCAAUUACUUCGUUACCGGAUGGAUGGAAUAUGCAUCUUUGUUGCUUACAAUGGCAAAUGGACUACAGAUAACAAGUAUUUGGAUCAUGAGACCAGACUAAUUCUUGUAAGAGAAGAAAUAUCAUUUGAAGGUCUUGUUGAAAAGAUUUUUCAGGUUCUAAAACUGAAAAGGGGUGAGAUUGAAGCAAAUAUUUGGUUUGAUACAAAGCUUGAAACAAGCAAAGGGAUGCGAGUAACAAAUGACGAUGAGGUUACUACGUGCAUCUACUUGCUGAAAAAUGAUUCAAAAUUCAGGACUUCCCGUUUCAUUGUUGAUAUUGUGGGAAGGAAUUCUUUAUCAGCAAACAAUUCAAAAACAGAAUUAUGCAAGGAAGAAGUAAAUGGUGAACCCCACGGGGAAGGACUAUGGGAAAGGCAGAUAGGAGAUAAAGCAUCGAUAGUGGUUGAACCAACAAUGAAGGUUGAAUAUUUGACAACAAAAGAAAAAACUGAGGAUACGGGACAGACAUCAAAUGGUAAGAAAGUAAGAAAAAGGCCGGCCAGUAAAAGAGGCAAUCUGCAAAAGUUAGUUCUGAGAGAAGAUGCUUCAUUGGAUGAAAUAGAUGUGGGAUCUGUGUUUGCGGACAAAGAAAGUUUGAAGAAAUGUAUAUCUAGUAAUGCAAUUGAGUACCACUUCAGAUUUAAGGUCCAUAAAUCUAGCAAAGAAAGAUAUUAUCUGAAGUGUUAUGAUGACGAAUGCAGUUGGAGUUUGCAUUCUUCACAGGUCCAUGAUUCUCCAUUAUUCAAGAUUACUAAGUUUGAAAACAACCAUAGUUGCUCUAUUGAUGAAAAUGACCAACGACAGGCGGCGACAUCAAAGGCUAUAUCUGAUUACAUCAUCGAUUUUCUACAUGAUACUGAUGAAGAAAUCAAACCAAAAUUUGUAGUAGAAGAAAUGAGAAGAAGAUAUGGACUUAGCAUUAGUUACCACAAAGCACGGCGUGCAAUACAACUAGCUUUUGGUCCAGAAAUGGAUGUUUAGUCCCAAACCGAAUAGGGUCUAAUAGAAGUGUAGCACAUUAUAUAUUGUUUUCCAACCUGGACACUACCUACUCAGAGAUUUAACCUCUCUAAAACGGAAAGUGUGGAAAGAUUGAAUCUCGAGUUAGAUACAUGGAGAAACUUUCUCAUGCCAAAACUGAAAACCGUCUAUUUUUUGUUGCGCCAGAUCAUGAAAGACCAAGUACUAUAAGCAAUGGUUAGCAUAUGUGCAAGUCUGUGAUAUGCAAAGUGGCAGAAAAUUGUCUGUCAGAUGUAGAAUUCAUUCUAGGAAUUGGAAACACUUCAGCACAUGUUUCUUUAGUUGAGCUGGUAUAGAAAAAAAGAUUGUUAGGGACUGCUUAUGUUAAGAAUUAAGAUAUUGAUCUUGCACUGUUUUUUGUUCAUAUCUUGUAGUCUGGUGCAAAGUCUGUUUGAGAUUGAUAACUUUGGACCUUUUAGAUUGUCGUAUUAAUUUGCAAUUUGCAAUUCUAGUACCAAAUUAUCGUACUAUAUAAGAUAUUAUUUCAGGUUGUCAGUUGUGCCAGAGUAA
Molecule: RNA transcript, 1708 nt
Organism: Lycium barbarum (goji berry)
Lineage: Eukaryota; Viridiplantae; Streptophyta; Magnoliopsida; Solanales; Solanaceae
Exons: 3
Source: RefSeq, a predicted model, not a curated record